Molecule: unclassified non-coding RNA, 228 nt
Filed under: Glomeraceae sp.
Lineage: Eukaryota; Fungi; Glomeromycota; Glomeromycetes; Glomerales; Glomeraceae
Description: partial contains 5.8S ribosomal RNA and internal transcribed spacer 2
Rfam family: 5.8S ribosomal RNA (bases 1-71)
Source: RNAcentral
GUGAAUCAUCAAAUUUUUGAACGCAAAUUGCGCUUCCUGGUAUCCCGGGAAGUAUGCCUGUUUGAGGGUCAGUAUUAACAAAAAAUCGGUUUGGUUGCAAAUUGUGACGUUUCCGGAGUUUGGGCUAAUCUUACAUUUUUUGGUUAAAGGCCUUAAAAUUAACUUUUUUUGGGCUUUUUUAAACUAAAUUAAUUUUUUUUUUAUUCGUCUAUUCUUUAUUCAAUCUUA